AUAAUAUUCCCUUCGUCCGAAAAUACUUGUCCCAAAAAUGGAUAUAAUGAAUGUAUUUAUAAUUAAAAUAAGUCUAGAUACAUUCAUCUUUAAGACAAGUAUUUUCGGACGGAGGGAGUACAAA
This is a non-coding RNA of Hordeum vulgare subsp. vulgare (domesticated barley), 124 nucleotides long. The record is from Rfam. NCBI's taxonomy places the organism in Eukaryota, Viridiplantae, Streptophyta, Magnoliopsida, Poales, Poaceae.